RNAcentral lists this small nuclear RNA (173 nucleotides) under Chinchilla lanigera (long-tailed chinchilla). RNAcentral's name for it is "U4 spliceosomal RNA (ENSCLAG00000020691.1)". The stretch from base 1 to 65 matches the Rfam family "U4 spliceosomal RNA". Lineage: Eukaryota; Metazoa; Chordata; Mammalia; Rodentia; Chinchillidae. The record is from RNAcentral.
AGCUUUGCGCAGUGGCAGUAUCAUAGCCAAUGAGGUUUUCUGAGGCGUGAUUAUUGCUAAUUGUAGGGCAGCAGAUCUUCUCGCGGUGUGAACUUGAUACCCACUGGUAAACCUGUCUCCAUCCCUACCGUGUUCGCUAGUUCAUCCCAGUUAUCACAAAUAACAGGUUUCUG